CUAGAGACUGUCAUACAGAGUGAAUCUCAAGAAUUGGAGAUGGUCUAGAUAAGAUAAAGAAUGAAAGCUCCCAAACAAGGAAAAGGUAAUGGAAUGUAAAAC
Kogia breviceps (pygmy sperm whale) is the source of this 102-nucleotide non-coding RNA. NCBI's taxonomy places the organism in Eukaryota, Metazoa, Chordata, Mammalia, Artiodactyla, Physeteridae. The record is from RefSeq and is a predicted model, not a curated record.